GCCCAUCUAUCCAUCCUAACACACCUCACAAACACAUAUAGUUCAUUCAAAGUUUGAAAGGGAGGGGGAGCAGAAGAGUAGUAGUAAUUUGAAGAGAACCAUGGCAGCCUCUAGCUUGGCCUCGGCUGCUUCAAGCUUCGUGCUCACCUCCAACAUCUCCACCACCACCACCACCACCACAUCCUCACGUAUCAGCUUGCUCACCUUCUCCAAGCCAAGCAGGAAGCUGGUGGUCCGAGCUGGAGAGGCGUCGGCGCCGCCACCUGCUCCACCAGCAGCAGGAGAGGGUCCUGCAAAAGCCACCAAGCCCCCUCCGCCGCAACCGAUCGGUCCCAAGAGAGGUGCAAAGGUAC
RNAcentral lists this long non-coding RNA (353 nucleotides) under Musa acuminata (dwarf banana). Its description in RNAcentral is "long non-coding RNA (MACU_LNC002162)". Lineage: Eukaryota; Viridiplantae; Streptophyta; Magnoliopsida; Zingiberales; Musaceae. The record is from RNAcentral.